Anas platyrhynchos (mallard) is the source of this 453-nucleotide long non-coding RNA. RefSeq lists it as uncharacterized. The record is from RefSeq and is a predicted model, not a curated record. Lineage: Eukaryota; Metazoa; Chordata; Aves; Anseriformes; Anatidae.
UCAUACACAAGUGCUCUGUUCAAAAACAGCCCCUGAGGAGCGAAGUCAAGUGUGAAGGGACUACGACCAGCAAGGGAAUAAAGUGUAACUACUCACAGCACACUGCACUCACAGUUCUGGUAAAGAAGAGAAUGGCAGCCACUUGGAAGAAGGAGAGUCCUUUACAAAGUUGUCUGUAAAAGACUUCUGUUACUCAACUCCAGCUGAGAAAUACAGGGGCACCCCAGCAGUGGAGCUGUUGUCAGCUUGUCUUGAGAGUUUAUUCGGCUGCCUCUCACCCCUGCAGCUGUGUGGGAUUGUGAGUGCCUGGCUGUAAACAACGCCAUAUUUCGUGCUUCUUUUUGGAUGACUUGAAGGCCAGGCUGAGGCCAGAUGUGUUUGCUGGUGUAAUCUGUUUCCCAUUUCUCGUAAUAAAAGCAUAUCUCAACAACUACUAAUAAAGUGAAAUCAGGA